RNAcentral lists this ribosomal RNA (449 nucleotides) under uncultured bacterium. RNAcentral's name for it is "partial 16S ribosomal RNA". It matches the Rfam family "Bacterial small subunit ribosomal RNA", at positions 29 to 523 of the family's 1533-position model. The record is from RNAcentral.
AACGAACGCUGGCGGCAUGCCUAACACAUGCAAGUCGAACGAAGGCUUCGGCCUUAGUGGCGCACGGGUGCGUAACGCGUGGGAAUCUGCCCUUAGGUUCGGAAUAACAGUUAGAAAUGACUGCUAAUACCGGAUGAUGACGUAAGUCCAAAGAUUUAUCGCCUAGGGAUGAGCCCGCGUAGGAUUAGCUAGUUGGUGUGGUAAAGGCGCACCAAGGCGACGAUCCUUAGCUGGUCUGAGAGGAUGAUCAGCCACACUGGGACUGAGACACGGCCCAGACUCCUACGGGAGGCAGCAGUGGGGAAUAUUGGACAAUGGGCGCAAGCCUGAUCCAGCAAUGCCGCGUGAGUGAUGAAGGCCUUAGGGUUGUAAAGCUCUUUUACCCGGGAUGAUAAUGACAGUACCGGGAGAAUAAGCCCCGGCUAACUCCGUGCCAGCCGCCGCGGUAA